GCUUAAUCGCAAUGUCCUCAAAUCCCCCUAAAAUCCAAAAACCCUUUACCAAUACUGAAUGAAUCCAUAUUCCUAUGGAAAACCUUAUGCUAAAACUAGUAAUAAGAAGAAGAACUUCUCCUAAAUGCAAGUAUGAGCCGAAACGAACAACUCCCCGGCAAUCAUCGUUAAUGAGCCCCUAGUAGCAACAAACCUAGAAAACCCUACUUAAAUUAACGUCAACCUUACACCAGCGCAUUUCAGGAAAGAUUUAAAAAAGAGGAAGGAACUCGGCAAACCACAAACCCCGCCUGUUUACCAAAAACAUCGCCUCCUGACCCCAUAGGAGGUCCAGCCUGCCCAGUGACAAAGUUAAACGGCCGCGGUACCCUAACCGUGCGAAGGUAGCGCAAUCACUUGUUCUUUAAAUGAGGACUAGUAUGAAUGGCAUCACGAGGGUUUCACUGUCUCCCCCUUUUAAUCAAUGAAACUGAUCUUCCCGUGAAGAAGCGGGAAUAAACAUAUAAGACGAGAAGACCCCAUGGAGCUUUAAACCCAGUAUCAACUACACUUACUACACCACACAAGAUUAGUAGACGUGACACCUGGUUUUCGGUUGGGGUGACCACGGAGCAAAACAAAACCUCCAUGAUGAAAGGAAUCUAUUCCUAAUCUAAGAGCCACAGCUCAAGAAUCAACAAACUGACAUUAAUUGACCCAAAUAUUUUGAUCAACGAACCAAGUUACCCUGGGGAUAACAGCGCAAUCCAUUUCAAGAGCUCCUAUCGACAAAUGGGUUUACGACCUCGAUGUUGGAUCAGGGUAUCCCAGUGGUGCAGCCGCUACUAAAGGUUCGUUUGUUCAACGAUUAAAACCCUACGUGAU
Molecule: ribosomal RNA, 864 nt
Filed under: Ctenophryne geayi (brown egg frog)
Lineage: Eukaryota; Metazoa; Chordata; Amphibia; Anura; Microhylidae
Description: partial 16S ribosomal RNA
Rfam family: Bacterial large subunit ribosomal RNA
Source: RNAcentral